UUAAUUGAAACCAAACUAGAGGUUUAUCACUGUUAAUGAUAUAAAUGGGCCCUUUAAUGCCCCAAUUAAG
Molecule: transfer RNA, 70 nt
Filed under: Lachnaia tristigma
Lineage: Eukaryota; Metazoa; Arthropoda; Insecta; Coleoptera; Chrysomelidae
Description: tRNA-Asn
Source: RNAcentral